This is a long non-coding RNA of Populus nigra (black poplar), 501 nucleotides long. RefSeq lists it as uncharacterized. The transcript has 2 exons. Lineage: Eukaryota; Viridiplantae; Streptophyta; Magnoliopsida; Malpighiales; Salicaceae. The record is from RefSeq and is a predicted model, not a curated record.
CUGGUGGAAGCCAUGAAAAUCCCUAUAGCAAUAAAUUAGUACCGAUCCUUUCUAGCCUCAACUAGCUCGCUUGGUUCAGCAAUUGCUUUCCACGCUAUUUUGUAUAAGGCCUGCUCCAGUGGUCAAACAUGAAACAGGAGGGAUAAAAAAGAGAGGUGAUGAUGAUUUUUUACCCAAGAAAAAGAAGGAGGGGAGGAAAGACGAGCUUGGAUUCAAUUGCUAUUGCGUGUUAUUCCCAGUUUCUUAUUGGUCAGGGCUUGCGCACUUUGAUUUACAGUUGGUUAGAAAAAAAAAAGUUCAUCUCUAUGGCAUGCAGGGCGUUGUUUGUAAUGCUUCCUGUUUUUUGUUUUUUUUUUUUUAUUAUUUUAUUUUAUCAGGAUCAUCAAUUUCCAACUGAUUUGGAUGAACACACUAUGUAUAUAUGGAUUGUGUUGCUCUUGCUAUUUUAGUUAAUGAAAGCAAAUACAGACCCCUGAUAACGUGCUAACGUGCUUUGCUGAA